GUGUAAGGAACUUGCCUCUUGGACUGGGACAACUGUUGGAAACGACAGCUAAUACCGGAUAUUAUGAGAUUCUCGCAUGAGAAACUUAUGAAAGCUAUAUGCGCCAAGAGAGAGCCUUGCGUUCCAUUAGCUAGUUGGUGGGGUAAUGGCCUACCAAGGCGACGAUGGAUAGCCGGCCUGAGAGGGUGAACGGCCACAAGGGGACUGAGACACGGCCCUUACUCCUACGGGAGGCAGCAGUGGGGAAUAUUGGACAAUGGGCCACAAGCCUGAUCCAGCAAUUCUGUGUGCACGAUGAAGGUCUUCGGAUUGUAAAGUGCUUUCAGUUGGGAAGAAGAAAGUGACGGUACCAACAGAAGAAGCGACGGCUAAAUACGUGCCAGCAGCCGCGGUAAUACGUAUGUCGCAAGCGUUAUCCGGAUUUAUUGGGGUAAAGCGCGUCUAGGCGGAAAAAUAAGUCUGAUGUUAAAAUGCGGGGUCAACUCCGUAUUG
This 492-nucleotide ribosomal RNA is filed under the name uncultured bacterium. Its description in RNAcentral is "bacterial SSU rRNA". It matches the Rfam family "Bacterial small subunit ribosomal RNA", at positions 115 to 622 of the family's 1533-position model. The record is from RNAcentral.